UACGGGGGGGGUAAGCGUUGUUCGGAAUUACUGGGCGUAAAGGGCUCGUAGGCGGCCAACUAAGUCAUACGUGAAAUCCCUCAGCUUAACUGGGGAACUGCGUGUGAUACUGGAUGGCUUGGAUUUGGGAGAGGGAUGCGGAAUUCCCGGUGUAGCGGUGAAAUGCGCAGAUAUCGGGAAGAACACCCGUGGCGAAGGCGGCUCUCUGGGACGGUACUGACGCUGAGGAGCGAAAGCGUGGGGAGCAAACAGG
RNAcentral lists this ribosomal RNA (253 nucleotides) under uncultured bacterium. RNAcentral describes it as "partial 16S ribosomal RNA". It matches the Rfam family "Bacterial small subunit ribosomal RNA", at positions 524 to 776 of the family's 1533-position model. The record is from RNAcentral.